UGAAUGCACUAACUGUAAGUCGCUCUGGAUAAGAGCGUCUGCUAAAUAACUCAAA
This is a non-coding RNA of Salmo salar (Atlantic salmon), 55 nucleotides long. NCBI's taxonomy places the organism in Eukaryota, Metazoa, Chordata, Actinopteri, Salmoniformes, Salmonidae. The record is from Rfam.